RNAcentral lists this ribosomal RNA (1521 nucleotides) under Bacteroidia bacterium. Its description in RNAcentral is "bacterial SSU rRNA". It matches the Rfam family "Bacterial small subunit ribosomal RNA". Lineage: Bacteria; Pseudomonadati; Bacteroidota; Bacteroidia. The record is from RNAcentral.
ACAAUGAAGAGUUUGAUCCUGGCUCAGGAUGAACGCUAGCGGCAGGCCUAAUACAUGCAAGUCGAGGGAGAAGCUGUCUUCGGACAGUGGAGACCGGCGCACGGGUGCGUAACACGUAUACAACCUACCUUUUACAGGGGGAUAGCUCAGAGAAAUCUGAAUUAAUACCCCAUAAUAUUACACUUUGGCAUCAUUGUGUGAUUAAAGCUCCGGCGGUAAUUGAUGGGUAUGCGUUGCAUUAGCUAGUUGGUAAGGUAACGGCUUACCAAGGCUACGAUGCAUAGGGGGUCUGAGAGGAUGAUCCCCCACACUGGUACUGAGACACGGACCAGACUCCUACGGGAGGCAGCAGUAGGGAAUAUUGGGCAAUGGACGAGAGUCUGACCCAGCCAUGCCGCGUGCAGGAUGACGGUCCUAUGGAUUGUAAACUGCUUUUAUAUGAGAAGAAACCCUUGGAUGCGUCCGAGGCUGACGGUAUCAUAUGAAUAAGGAUCGGCUAACUUCGUGCCAGCAGCCGCGGUAAGACGAAGGAUUCAAGCGUUGUCCGGAUUUACUGGGUUUAAAGGGUGCGUAGGCGGAUUAUUAAGUCAGUGGUGAAAGCCCGCAGCUCAACUGCGGAACUGCCAUUGAAACUGAUAAUCUUGAAUAUGGUUGAGGUAGAUGGAAUGUAACAUGUAGCGGUGAAAUGCUUAGAUAUGUUACAGAACUCCGAUUGCGAAGGCAGUCUGCUAAGCCAUUAUUGACGCUGAUGCACGAAAGCGUGGGGAGCGAACAGGAUUAGAUACCCUGGUAGUCCACGCCCUAAACGUUGAUAACUCGCUGUUGGCGAUAUACUGUCAGUGGCUAAGCGAAAGCGUUAAGUUAUCCACCUGGGAAGUACGACCGCAAGGUUGAAACUCAAAGGAAUUGACGGGGGCCCGCACAAGCGGAGGAGCAUGUGGUUUAAUUCGAUGAUACGCGAGGAACCUUACCUGGGCUUAAAUGUUAAGUGACCGACGCCGAAAGGUGUCUUUCCUUCGGGACAAAUAACAAGGUGCUGCAUGGCUGUCGUCAGCUCGUGCCGUGAGGUGUUGGGUUAAGUCCCGCAACGAGCGCAACCCCUAUCAUUAGUUGCCAUCAGGUUAAGCUGGGGACUCUAAUGAAACUGCCUACGUAAGUAGUGAGGAAGGUGGGGACGACGUCAAGUCAUCAUGGCCCUUACGUCCAGGGCUACACACGUGCUACAAUGGUUGGUACAAUGAGAUGCUACUUGGCAACAAGACGCAAACCUCAAAAAGCCAAUCUCAGUUCGGAUUGAGGUCUGCAACUCGACCUCAUGAAGCUGGAUUCGCUAGUAAUCGGAUAUCAGCAAUGAUCCGGUGAAUACGUUCCCGGGCCUUGUACACACCGCCCGUCAAGCCAUGGAAGCUGGGAGAGCCUGAAGUCGAUAACCGCAAGGAGUCGCCUAGGGUUAUACUAGUAACUGGGGCUAAGUCGUAACAAGGUAACCGUACCGGAAGGUGUGGUUGGACCACCUCCUUU